UCUACCUUAAUCCCUUUUUCAAAUAAGAUUUUAUUAUACAGGCUUCCUUGGAGGAAAGCCAUGUCCCAUCUUUUAUCUGUGAAUGCGGGAUGAAAAAGUACAUGUACCUGGCAUUUACCCCCAGGUCACCCCACAGUAACCUGUCCACAGAAAACCCCACUGAAAGCAACUGUCACUUCAAAUAAAUAGAUUAUCCAGAGUUUCCUGAGUUUAUAGCAGCCUCUCCCCCCCAAAAAGAGGAACUCCUAUAAUAAUUUUUUAAAAACCAAACAUUGUGUGGCUAGUUCAGACAUGACCAAGGGAACCAAACCUGGGAUAAGGUGUUCCCACUUAGAACAAGACACCCAGUGAGCAAGAAGGGUGUUAUUCAUUAGCAGGAUUCCAGAAGAAAGUUCUUAUACUAAAAGGGGAGAUGAGUCCUCAUGGGAAUUCAAAGUCGCAAACUUGUUUUAUGAUGGAUUCCCCUCCUGGGAAUUAGCAAAUAGUGGGCUUUCUGAAGUUGCUAGUUCCUCCAUUGUUUUUCCUGCAUCAGCCACUAUCAUGACUUCCAUGCCAUUCUUGCACUUUCUAUAGAUUCAUAUUCUUUUGAGGGAAGCACAUUAUAUUUGAUGUACUGGUAUAUUGACAUGACAUGUCAAGGUAAACAGAAAAGUUUCUACCUUUUGAUCCAUUUAAAUCCCAAAGUAACAGCCUCUGUAUUAAGCAUAAAUGCUUCCCUACCUCCCAUCUCCCACCCCCAGAAAAAAAUAUGUACAGAUACACAAAGAACGCUUACUGUACCUAUGAUUCAGGUUUUUUAUCACUUUAUAUGUGGAUUUGCCAUAAAGUUGUGGCAGAGACUCCUAACUGUGCCCCAGUAUCUAGUCUCUCUUUCCUUUUUAGUAAUGGAAUCCUCUCCCUUAGUUGUAGCAGAGAACAUGGUGCCAGGUAGGGACUACAUUUGCCAGUCUACCCUUCCGCAAGCCAUGGUUCUAUAAGUUUGUUCUAGCCCCUGGGAUAAAAGCAAAAGUGAUGAGCAAUUUCCAAGACAUCUUUUUUAAAGGAAGUUGUUUCCCCUCUCUCUCUCUCUCUCACACACACACACACACACACACACCCUUACUGGAACAGUCUGUUGGACCCAUUGAUGGAAUCCACAAGAGAAAGAUGAGGGGAAUUGACCCCUCAGCCUGGGUCUUGACUCAAUAACCAGUGCUGCCUUUUUGCCUUGGAUUUCCCCACCUAACUCCAGACUGUUAUGUGAAAAAUAAAUUUUUAUCAUAUUUAAGCCACUUUAUCUUGAGAUCUCUUUGUUAUAUAGUACCUUAGCUAUUACCCCAGCUAAUACACUAAUCUUGGUAGACUCUUUGUCUAAUGUCUUCUUUCCAGUUGAGUUACCUCAAUUUAAUCCGACCAACAUUUUGUGAGAGCCUUCUAUAUGGUGAGGCAGUGUUUUUCAAAGUAUGGUUCCCAAACCAGGGGUAUCCAUCCUCACCUGAGAACUUGUUAGAUAUGCAAAUCCACAAACUCUACCCUAGAUUUACUGAAUGAGAAACUCUGGGGUAGGACUCAGCAAUUGGUUUUAACAAGCCCUUCAGGUGAUCUGGAUGCGCAUUACUGUUUGAGAACCACUGUACUGGGGGAUUUAAAAAAAAAAAAAGGAAUAAAAACUGGGCUCUGUCAAGAAAUUUACAUUUGUGAGGAAAAAGUGCAAAUUGAUAAUCAGUCAUAAAAACACAUUGUUGCUUUGCUAUUUUCCUGUCUGCUCCUCUUUUUCAUCAGAUUAACUCAAGAUAAUUUAGCUCAGAUUGUUUUCAUUUACAUAUGUGAUUGUUUAUAGACAGCCUAAAAAUAUAGGUCAUGUGGGCCUAUGCAAAUCCUAAAGGGGGAAAUAACUAAAGUUGCUUUCGUAAUAGGCUACACAGAGAUUUGAUUGUCAAUAUUAGAAUUGAUGAGGAUCUCCUAAAGCCAAGAAAGACAAAUGAGAAGAGGGAGUUAUUUUACAGUGUGGGUAGUAAAAGUAUAGUACUUAUUACCCUAUAAAGGAUUAUAUGGUCUAAAAAUAAAAAGAGUUGAGCAUGGAUUAAAUUCACAGGUGAGAAAGUCAUAAAGUUCUAUUAAGCACAAGUUAGAAAUGUUCAAAUUAUUUGGAAAGUAUCUGACAUUGUAUCAUAAAGGAAAGUACUAUCUUUGCUCUCGUCACCCUUAUAAUCUUCAGUGUUCAGAAUUCUAGGCUAGCCUGGACUAGACCAAUGUGGUAUUGGUGAUGGGCUAGAAAGGAGAAUGCCUGAGAAUAAAGACUCUUGUAGUGUGUUUUGUAUAAAAUCUGUAAACCUUCCGAUUUAAUGGGUGAUAAAGGUAGAGGAAAUAAAGGAGACAAUGGAUGCAACUCAUAGAAGAAUUUGGUGUCAUUUCAGAUUAAAACUAGUUUGCCAAUAUUCCUGUUAACAAGAGAAGAGACAAUCCGAAUCAUUGAAAUCUGUGGAUAAUCCAAAAGCUACAUAAAAUAUUACUAAACACAGCAAACUGGUCUUAUGUCUUUGGCAUAGGAGCUAAGCACGUUAGAUAGUGCUUGCUAAUGUAUAAAAUAUAUUAGUACAUCCCCAAACUGCCAAACUUAGAAAUGCUACACUCUUUGUGAUAGUGAAGAGGUAGCAAUUAGUGUUGCUCAAAGUUCUGUGAAUCCUUAGAAGAAAAGGUUUAAUUUUUCCACCCACUAUUAGGAACAAAGUCAUUUGCUGCUAGAAAUCACUUUAGUCCUGGCUUAUAUGUUUUUAAAAUCUUGCAGUGUCUUGAAACUACCAUCCAGUUUGGAAAGAUAUAACCAACUUAUUUCCUUCUUUCCUUCCUUUUCCCUUUAAGGACAUUUCAAUCCAACCUCUUCCCCAAAAUACUGUCACUCAGGAUUUCUAUUCCAAAUAAUUUGGAAUCAAAAGCAUUCAGCAGUCUGGAGGCAAAUGAGCUUUUUAUUGUAAUUUUAUUGGGAGCAAAUUGAACUGUGUGGCCAGGCUAGAGAGGGACUUUCUGUGAGGCUCCAGCACACCCCACCAUUGCACCCCAGCAAGGAUUCAUGUUACAAGAAUUACAUCAUUGUGAUUUGCUUAUGUUGUCUGACCAGGCCUAACAGGCCCCUGGGUGUUGCAGGCAGGUUAACUCCUGUCAAUCUUCAUGAACCUUCCAUAAGAGAGCUUACGUGGCCCCCAGAAGUCUCUGUCUUUCUUCUUGUGACUUUCUAAUCUUUUACUAAUUUGACACAUGAAGAAAUAUUUGGCAAACUAUAACAAUGUUGCAUCUUCAUGAACCUGUAUGAUGCAUAAGAAUUGUUAUCCUCGGGCAGCUUGGGUGGCUCGGUGGUAUAGCGUUACCUUCAGCCCAGGGCCUGAUCCUGGAGACCCAGGAUCGAGUCCCACAUCAGGCUCCAUGCAUGGAGCCUGCUUCUCUCUGCCUGUGUCUCUGCCUCUCUCUCUGUGUCUCUCAUGAA
This 3460-nucleotide long non-coding RNA is filed under the name Canis lupus familiaris (dog). RNAcentral describes it as "lncRNA (ENSCAFG00845006137.1)". The record is from RNAcentral. Lineage: Eukaryota; Metazoa; Chordata; Mammalia; Carnivora; Canidae.